UUGCUUUUGAAAGUCGAGUGGCAAACGGGUGAGUAACGCGUAGACAACCUGCCGUAAAGAUGGGGACAACAGUUCGAAAGGACUGCUAAUACCGAAUGUUGUAGAGCUUCCGCAUGGGAAUCCUACUAAAGGUGGCCUCUACUUGUAAGCUAUCGCUUUACGAUGGGUCUGCGUCUGAUUAGCUAGUUGGUGGGGUAACGGCCUACCAAGGCGACGAUCAGUAGCCGGUCUGAGAGGAUGAACGGCCACAUUGGAACUGAGACACGGUCCAGACUCCUACGGGAGGCAGCAGUGGGGAAUCUUCCGCAAUGGGCGCAAGCCUGACGGAGCAACGCCGCGUGAGUGAAGAAGGGUUUCGACUCGUAAAGCUCUGUUGUCGGGGACGAAUGUGGAGAUGGUGAAUAACCAUUUUCAAUGACGGUACCUGACGAGGAAGCCACGGCUAACUACG
Molecule: ribosomal RNA, 451 nt
Filed under: Mitsuokella jalaludinii
Lineage: Bacteria; Bacillati; Bacillota; Negativicutes; Selenomonadales; Selenomonadaceae
Description: bacterial SSU rRNA
Rfam family: Bacterial small subunit ribosomal RNA
Source: RNAcentral